AGUGAACGCUGGUGGUAGGCCUAACACAUGCAAGUCGAACGGCAGCACAGUAAGAGCUUGCUCUUACGGGUGGCGAGUGGCGGACGGGUGAGGAAUACAUCGGAAUCUACUUUUUCGUGGGGGAUAACGUAGGGAAACUUACGCUAAUACCGCAUACGACCCACGGGUGAAAGCAGGGGAUCUUCGGACCUUGCGCGAUUGAAUGAGCCGAUGUCGGAUUAGCUAGUUGGCGGGGUAAAGGCCCACCAAGGCGACGAUCCGUAGCUGGUCUGAGAGGAUGAUCAGCCACACUGGAACUGAGACACGGUCCAGACUCCUACGGGAGGCAGCAGUGGGGAAUAUUGGACAAUGGGCGCAAGCCUGAUCCAGCCAUACCGCGUGGGUGAAGAAGGCCUUCGGGUUGUAAAGCCCUUUUGUUGGGAAAGAAAAGCAGCAGGUUAAUACCCCGCUGUUCUGACGGUACCCAAAGAAUAAGCACCGGCUAACUUCGUG
RNAcentral lists this ribosomal RNA (492 nucleotides) under uncultured bacterium. Its description in RNAcentral is "partial 16S ribosomal RNA". It matches the Rfam family "Bacterial small subunit ribosomal RNA", at positions 29 to 507 of the family's 1533-position model. The record is from RNAcentral.